GUCUAGACUCGAAAAUCUCUCUGUUACAAGGUCUGCCAUGUAGGGAUCCUUUUCAAUUGCAAGGACAGUGGCACCAGAAUUGACAAGAACAUUUGUCAGGGAACCGGUACCAGGCCCAAUUUCAACCACCAAAUCUCCUUCUUGCACAUCAGCAGCAGCAACUAGUUGAUCGUUUACCUCUGAAUUCAGCAUGUAAUGCUGCCCAAGUGACUUUCUUGGAAAACGACCUUUAGAGUUGAGAGCUUUGAGAGUGGCAUGAUAGUCGUCCUCGGCCUUGUUGUUUAUUCUUGUUUCGCUUGUAGUUUUAGAUACUGCAGCU
Molecule: unclassified non-coding RNA, 319 nt
Filed under: Hevea brasiliensis (rubber tree)
Lineage: Eukaryota; Viridiplantae; Streptophyta; Magnoliopsida; Malpighiales; Euphorbiaceae
Source: RNAcentral